Molecule: long non-coding RNA, 575 nt
Organism: Eleginops maclovinus (Patagonian blennie)
Lineage: Eukaryota; Metazoa; Chordata; Actinopteri; Perciformes; Eleginopidae
Exons: 3
Source: RefSeq, a predicted model, not a curated record
UCACGACUGUGAUGAAGUUGAUGCAGUUCCACUACAACAUUAUUCAUAUAUAAUGUUGAAAUGAUCCAGCUAAUGCCAAUACAAUACUGUAAACUCAGUACUGAUAUCCUGAGCUAGCGAACACAAAUGGAUGAACUCGUUGCUGCCUGAUGAAGCACGCCUCUAAUACUCAGGCAGCACUUCAAUCCUUCCUCCAUAACGCCUCCUGUCAACCGCCCCUUCUCCAUUGUGUGCACAUUGAUUCUCCCUCCCAUGAUGCCCAGCGUCAACAGAGAGGAAGCUGCCCUUCCACUUCCUUCUUCACUGGAUUACAUCAUGCAUUUGUAAAAAAGCUGUGGGAUCAGUGAAGCUCAGCUCACCAACCAACAGAACAGAGAGCAGACAUCAAGAGGUGGACUUUCUAGUUCACCAGCCCAGUGAUGUCACCCAGGACAGAGAACGCUAUUGGUGGAGAGACAGUGAGGGUUGGACGCAGUAAGAUGGGCAGAGAGGAAAUAUAUCCAUAAAAGGAGUGAUCACUUCUGGAUUUAUAAUUGUUGAUUAGGACUAUUGAUAGAUGAUAGAUGAUGGCCUGG